AUGCUGGCAUUAGUAACGAUAAAACAGGUGAAAAACCUGUUCGCCGAAAAUCCAAGGUUUCCUGGGGAAGGUUAAUCCGCCCAGGGUUAGUCGGUUCCUAAGGCGAGGCCGCGAGGCGUAGCUGAUGGAAAGCAGGCGAAAAUUCCUGCACCACUUGGUGGGCGACAAAGACACGGUGGGGUGACGCGGAAGGGUAAUCCUAAAGCCUGACGGAUGGCUUGCGAAACCUGUAGGUCGGGAGAUUGGCAAAUCCGUCUCCCAUUAAGACCGAGAGGAAUCGGAUAGAAGGACUACGGUCCAACGAACUGGAUGACCCCAUGCCGCCAAGAAAAACCUCGUUCCGUGAGUUCACAGAGUGACCGUACCGUAAACGGACACACGUAGAUGAGGCGAGAAGCCUAAGGCGCUCGGGAUAACUCUGGAGAAGGAACUAGGCAAAAUAGCCCCGUAACUUCGGGAGAAGGGGUACCCCCGCUACGUAAUGGGCUCGCGCCCAAAGCGGAAGGGGGUCGCAGUGACCAGGCUCAAGCGACUGUUUACCAAAAACACAGCACUCUGCCAAGUCGAAAGACGAUGUAUAGGGUGUGACGCCUGCCCGGUGCCGGAAGGUUAAAAGGCGGUGUUAGCUGGUUCUCGGAUCGGCAAAGCACCAAAUUGAAGCCCCGGUAAACGGCGGCCGUAACUAUAACGGUCCUAAGGUAGCGAAAUUCCUUGUCGGGUAAGUUCCGACCCGCACGAAUGGCGUAGCGAUUUGAGCGCUGUCUCCUCCAGAGGCCCGGUGAAGUUGAGCUACCAGUGAAGACGCUGGUUACCCGCAGCUGGACGGAAAGACCCCGGAACCUUUACUACAGCCUGAUAUUGGCGCCUGAUUUGUCAUGUAGAGGAUAGGCAGGAGGCUAUGAAGCAGGGACGCUAGUCUCUGUGGAGCCAACCUUGGAAUACUGCCCUUGUCAUGUUAAGCGUCUAACCUGCGACCGUGAAUCCGGUCGAGGGACAGUGUUUGGUGGGUAGUUUAACUGGGGCGGUUGCCUCCCAAAAUGUAACGGAGGCGCGCGAAGGUGCUCUCAGAACGGUUGGCAAUCGUUCGUAGAGUGUAUUGGCACAAGAGCGCUUGACUGCGAGACCGACGGGUCAAGCAGAUGCGAAAGCAGGCCAAAGUGAUCCGGCGAUUCUGUGUGGAAGGGUCGUCGCUCAUCGGAUAAAGGUACUCUGGGGAUAACAGGCUGAUCGCAUCCAAGAGUUCACAUCGACGAUGCGGUUUGGCACCUCGAUGUCGGCUCAUCGCAUCCUGGGGGUGUACAAGCUCCCAAGGGUUUGGCUGUUCGCCAAUUAAAGCGAUACGUGAGCUGGGUUCAGAACGUCGUGAGACAGUUCGGUCCCUAUCUACUGUGGGCGUAGGAGUUUUGAGGGGAGCUCUCCUUAGUACGAGAGGACCAGGAGGGACGGACCUCUAGUGUUCCGGUUGUGCCGCCAGGUGCAGCGCCGGGUAGCUAUGUUCGGAUCGGAUAACCGCUGAAGGCAUCUAAGCGGGAAGCCAACCCCAAGAUUAGAACUCCCUCCAUCGCAAGGUGGACUGAAGGCACCAGGAAGACUACCUGGUUGAUAGGCUGGAUGUGGAAGCGCAGUAAUGCGUGAAGCUGACCAGUACUAAUUUGCCGUGAGGCUUAACA
RNAcentral lists this ribosomal RNA (1670 nucleotides) under metagenome. RNAcentral describes it as "bacterial LSU rRNA". It matches the Rfam family "Bacterial large subunit ribosomal RNA", at positions 1294 to 2925 of the family's 2925-position model. The record is from RNAcentral.